Molecule: ribosomal RNA, 453 nt
Filed under: uncultured bacterium
Lineage: Bacteria
Description: bacterial SSU rRNA
Rfam family: Bacterial small subunit ribosomal RNA
Source: RNAcentral
AGCGAACGCUGGCGGCAGGCUUAACACAUGCAAGUCGAGCGGGCGUAGCAAUACGUCAGCGGCAGACGGGUGAGUAACGCGUGGGAACAUACCUUUUGGUUCGGAACAACACAGGGAAACUUGUGCUAAUACCGGAUAAGCCCUUACGGGGAAAGAUUUAUCGCCGAAAGAUUGGCCCGCGUCUGAUUAGCUAGUUGGUGAGGUAACGGCUCACCAAGGCGACGAUCAGUAGCNGGUCUGAGAGGAUGAUCAGCCACAUUGGGACUGAGACACGGCCCAAACUCCUACGGGAGGCAGCAGUGGGGAAUAUUGGACAAUGGGCGAAAGCCUGAUCCAGCCAUGCCGCGUGAGUGAUGAAGGCCCUAGGGUUGUAAAGCUCUUUUGUGCGGGAAGAUAAUGACGGUACCGCAAGAAUAAGCCCCCGGCUAACUUCGUGCCAGCCGCCGCCGUAAU